AACGCACUAUUUUAUUUUUUGGUUGUGGUUUUCUUUUCUCAAUUCGUUUUCACUUUUCUCAUACUCACAAUUCUCAACUGCAACAUCGAUCUGCACCGUGAAUAUCGUUCUUAUCGAGGUCAAUUGCAAGACCAAUUUCAGUAAUUGGUUAGUGAUUUGGGAAAUGUAAUUGGGUUGCCGCUACAAAGCGUGUAAAGGCGUGGUGGUGUGUGGUUUUGGAGUUUUGAGAUUGUGGAAAUGUGAGGUUUGAAGAUUGGAGUAGAAGAAGCUCUUUGAUGAGGAAUGUAAAUGAGAUAACCAACAUGAAUGUCCUUAUAUGUGGAUUAACUUGCAUGCAGUACAAGUUCUAUGUUGAUGGAAAAUGGGGAUAUGAUGAAUCUGAACAUCAUGUGACUAGUGAUUAUGGGAUUGUGAACACACUACAUCUGUCUACGGAUGACAUGGAUGUUGAUAAUGAUGUCUUUUCGGCAUGUGGUGAGUUAGAUAUACCAUAUGCUUGAAAUCAUGAUUACCAUGAUACUUUGGCCCUUCUUGUUGUCUUUUAUAUUUUGUUAUGAUUUUGAUGGAAGUUAGAAAUUUUAGUGAUAUCUAUAUGUCUCUAUGGGCUUGACUUGAGGAGUUGUUUGAACUUUAGUGUUCUUAAUACCUAACCAAGCUUUGCUCAUUUGAAACCUAUGAGCCUAUGAAGCAAGUUUUUAUUUGGCUAAGCAUUCUUUGUAGGUGGUGAGUUUUGAUUUUUUUUGAAGAGCCGUGUGUUUGGCUUGAGCACAGUCAAAAUAUCGCAUGCCUUGGGUUAUAGAUGAUGUCGAGGGGAGAUAUAUUUCAUUGCAACAAAGUAUUAGCUUGGUUGCAUAUCUUCAUGAGGAAUUUGUUAUCAUUUGAUUAGUAUUUGAGUGAAUAGAUUCGAACUUGUAUUAUGUAUAUGAUAUUGAACUUGGGUAUUAUUUUCC
Molecule: long non-coding RNA, 950 nt
Organism: Quercus lobata
Lineage: Eukaryota; Viridiplantae; Streptophyta; Magnoliopsida; Fagales; Fagaceae
Exons: 6
Source: RefSeq, a predicted model, not a curated record